CCUACGGGAGGCAGCAGUGGGGGAUAUUGCACAAUGGGGGGAACCCUGAUGCAGCGACGCCGCGUGGGUGAAGGAGUGCUUCGGCAUGUAAAGCCCUAUCGGCAGGGAAGAAGCAAGACGGUACCUGACUAAGAAGCCCCGGCUAACUACGUGCCAGCAGCCGCGGUAAUACGUAGGGGGCGAGCGUUAUCCGGAUUCACUGGGUGGAAAGGGAGCGUAGACGGCCAUGCAAGCCAGGGGUGAAAGCCCGGGGCCCAACCCCGGGACUGCCCUUGGAACUGCAUGGCUGGAGUGCGGGAGGGGCAGGCGGAAUGCCUGGUGUAGCGGUGAAAUGCGUAGAUAUCAGGAGGAACACCGGCGGCGAAGGCGGCCUGCUGGACCGCGACUGACGUUGAGGCUCGAAAGCGUGGGGAGCGAACAGGAUUAGAUACCCUAGUAGUC
This 441-nucleotide ribosomal RNA is filed under the name uncultured bacterium. RNAcentral's name for it is "partial 16S ribosomal RNA". It matches the Rfam family "Bacterial small subunit ribosomal RNA", at positions 338 to 795 of the family's 1533-position model. The record is from RNAcentral.